UGGGGAAUAUUGCACAAUGGGCGCAAGCCUGAUGCAGCAACGCCGCGUGAACGAUGAAGGUCUUCGGAUCGUAAAGUUCUGUUGCAGGGGAAGAUAAUGACGGUACCCUGUGAGGAAGCCCCGGCUAACUACGUGCCAGCAGCCGCGGUAAUACGUAGGGGGCUAGCGUUAUCCGGAUUUACUGGGCGUAAAGGGUGCGUAGGUGGUCUUUCAAGUCGGUGGUUAAAGGCUACGGCUCAACCGUAGUUAGCCUCCGAAACUGGAAGACUUGAGUGCAGGAGAGGAAAGUGGAAUUCCCAGUGUAGCGGUGAAAUGCGUAGAUAUUGGGAGGAACACCAGUAGCGAAGGCGGCUUUCUGGACUGCAACUGACACUGCGGCACGAAAGCGUGGGUAGCAAACAGG
Molecule: ribosomal RNA, 403 nt
Filed under: Verrucomicrobiota bacterium
Lineage: Bacteria; Pseudomonadati; Verrucomicrobiota
Description: Verrucomicrobia bacterium partial 16S ribosomal RNA
Rfam family: Bacterial small subunit ribosomal RNA
Source: RNAcentral